GACAGAGGAUGCAAGCGUUAUCCGGAAUGAUUGGGCGUAAAGCGUCUGUAGGUGGCUUUUUAAGUCUGCCGUCAAAUCCCAGGGCUUAACCCUGGACAGGCGGUGGAAACUACCAAGCUGGAGUACGGUAGGGGCAGAGGGAAUUUCCGGUGGAGCGGUGAAAUGCGCAGAUAUCAGGAAGAACACCAAUGGCGAAGGCAGCUCUCUGGGACGGUACUGACACUGAGACGCGAAAGCGUGGGGAGCGAACAGG
Molecule: ribosomal RNA, 253 nt
Filed under: uncultured bacterium
Lineage: Bacteria
Description: partial 16S ribosomal RNA
Rfam family: Bacterial small subunit ribosomal RNA
Source: RNAcentral